AUAAUAAGAUUUACAUGCUCUGAAAAUGACCUUUUUGUCUAAAACUCUACGAAAAACAUGGCCGCGGUGUGCAAAUAAUGAGUUGCUUAUUUCAAAACUGUCCUAUUAUUCUUCAGUAAAACUUCUUGUUAAUUUAAGACUCUAAUAACUUGCUUGACAUACCCAUAGGCAAAUAUCUGUUAUCGGUGUAAUUACACCUUUGGAGAAAAGCGUGAUUCGCACGUUUUAAUUUCAUAAUUCGCCGCCUGAAGAGACAAGAUGGCGGAGCUUGCGAAAUCGAAAAUUGGUACUUGAAAGUCAAUGGUUGAUCAUGAUGACCAUCUUUUAUUUAAUGGAGAAAGAAACCAAUAUUUGCAGCUGGACAGGUUGUCACCACAGUUCAAUGAUUUAGGUCAGACAUCAGCUUUUGAAGUUGCUUUCUUGGCACAUCAUGCUGUCCAGUGGAGUUCAUACCAUAUGCCAGGCCUUUAUACAUGGUCAAAGAAGAUGAAUUUAUUAUUCAAUUUGUGAAAUUUGAUUUAGCGAGGACUUUCAUAUAUGAUGAUUAUAUUCAGCAGAUUAUCUUCAAGUGUGCACUUUAUAGAAUCACAGUUUCUAGGAGGUUUUCAGUUUAAAGUUAGAUUAAUUGAAAAAUAAGGGGAGCUAUCGUACUCACCAUGGUAUUGACAUUGGCAUUACACCAGGUUUAAGUUUUUCUUACCAGUCCAUAUUUUAAAAGGGCCUUUUGACAGUAUUGAAACUUAAAACAGUAAUGUAUCAUCAUUAUACCAAGUUUUAGGCAAGAGUACAUAACUCCAUCAAGGAUUUGACUGAACUAUGGCCCUUUGAAACUUUUGUCACUUGUUUAUAAUAAUAGUCUCUCUAUAUAGGCAAGAGUUCAUAACACUAUAGAGUAUUUUGGAUGAAUUAUGUCCCUUUUGGACUUUGAAAUUGGUUCAGUUUUUGUACAAGUCCACAUUUUGACAAAACAUUUUGACAUAUAGCUUUGAAUCUUUCAACACUAAGUCUUACCAUUACAAUAAUAUAACUUAAAGUAGUUGUUCAACAUCAUCAAUCAUCACCCACAUCAUAUUACACAAGAUGCAUAACUCUUGCACUAAAAUUUAAUGAAUUGUGCCCGUUUUGCUUAAAAUGUACUUUGUAUAGUGUUUUGAUACACUUUAUCUUUAUCUCUCAUAUUACUUAAUAUUUUUAAAACAGACUUAGUUAUUAUGCAAUAUCUUCAUCCGCCGUUGGAGUCAUUAAACACAACAGUGACAGCUCCAGUGUUCUCAGAUGUGCCCAGGCUCCCUAUCCAACACCGAAAUAGUCGAGCAUGCUAACUGAGACAAUCAGGUAGAUGACAAUCAGGUAGAUAACUAUGGACAGAUUUUAUGUCAAAUCACCUCCCUUUAUUUCAAAUUGAAAUGGGUACAUCAGUGUAACUAAUGAAGAUACUGUUAUGCCAUCAGAUUGACUUGGACAGUCAGUGAAGAUACAUAUUGACUGAAUUUAUGACAAAAGUACCUCCCUUUAUUUUUUAUGUAAAUGAAUAUAUUUAGCAGCUUCUAAUGAAAUUGGUUUGAAAGGUUUUUAUGUCUUCCAUGGUAAGAUAUAGUCAUGUUAGAUAACUCUUGCUUGAAUGUUUAUAGAUAUGAAUACUUCUCUUAUAUAUUAUUGUGAAACUUGUACUGUGUAUCUUCUACAUGCAUGUACCAAUACAUGAUUACCUUCCCUGAUUUUUAUAAAAAUGGAUUUAUCUCAGUAACAAUAUAUAGGAC
Mercenaria mercenaria is the source of this 1760-nucleotide long non-coding RNA. RefSeq lists it as uncharacterized. NCBI's taxonomy places the organism in Eukaryota, Metazoa, Mollusca, Bivalvia, Venerida, Veneridae. The transcript is spliced from 3 exons. The record is from RefSeq and is a predicted model, not a curated record.